RNAcentral lists this ribosomal RNA (497 nucleotides) under uncultured bacterium. Its description in RNAcentral is "partial 16S ribosomal RNA". It matches the Rfam family "Bacterial small subunit ribosomal RNA", at positions 29 to 508 of the family's 1533-position model. The record is from RNAcentral.
AUGAACGCUGGCGGCGUGCCUAAUACAUGCAAGUCGAGCGAACGGACGAGAAGCUUGCUUCUCUGAUGUUAGCGGCGGACGGGUGAGUAACACGUGGAUAACCUACCUAUAAGACUGGGAUAACUUCGGGAAACCGGAGCUAAUACCGGAUAAUAUUUUGAACCGCAUGGUUCAAAAGUGAAAGACGGUCUUGCUGUCACUUAUAGAUGGAUCCGCGCUGCAUUAGCUAGUUGGUAAGGUAACGGCUUACCAAGGCAACGAUGCAUAGCCGACCUGAGAGGGUGAUCGGCCACACUGGAACUGAGACACGGUCCAGACUCCUACGGGAGGCAGCAGUAGGGAAUCUUCCGCAAUGGGCGAAAGCCUGACGGAGCAACGCCGCGUGAGGGAUGAAGGUCUUCGGAUCGUAAAACUCUGUUAUUAGGGAAGAACAUAUGUGUAAGUAACUGUGCACAUCUUGACGGUACCUAAUCAGAAAGCCACGGCUAACUACGUGC